Molecule: transfer RNA, 657 nt
Filed under: uncultured Prochlorococcus sp.
Lineage: Bacteria; Bacillati; Cyanobacteriota; Cyanophyceae; Synechococcales; Prochlorococcaceae
Description: partial 16S-23S ribosomal RNA intergenic spacer
Rfam family: tRNA (bases 247-319)
Source: RNAcentral
CGUGAUGUCUGAGUUAUUGAUACUUAGGCCAUGAUCCUGUCACCUUAGGUCGAUCGGUACCUCAAGUUGAGAAUCAAAGAAAAGCUGAUGAAUCAGCUUGGAGAUUGAUGAUUGAUUUUAGUUCCUAAACUUGUCUAGGUCACACCCCGCAAGGGUUACUCCUGGGCCAUUAGCUCAGGUGGUUAGAGCGCACCCCUGAUAAGGGUGAGGUCCCUGGUUCAAGUCCAGGAUGGCCCAUUCGGUGUUGGGGGUUUAGCUCAGUUGGUAGAGCGCCUGCUUUGCAAGCAGGAUGUCAGCGGUUCGAGUCCGCUAACCUCCACUGACGAAUCUUCUGACAACGAGCCAAUGGUGAGAACCGUUGUGUGAUGUGAUUUAGGAUUUAAGUUUGCUGGCAGACCCUAGCUUCUUAUCAUUCCAGGUCUCAAUUCAUUGAGGUUAGGUUGAUAGGACGCUGGGCUCACUGUAAUUCGCAAGAAUUGCAGAGAUGUUCAGCAGAACCUUGACAACUGCAUAGGUAAGUUCUUGGAAAGAAUAAAGCAUUCUCAUGGAUGCAUGAUUCUUGGAGUCAGCUAAUGCAAUCUUGCGCAGUAGAGAGCUGAAGUUGAUCCACGAGAAUGAUGUUUGAUUCUGGAUUCAAGAGCGGAAGACUCUAUAGCG